RNAcentral lists this long non-coding RNA (3449 nucleotides) under Salmo salar (Atlantic salmon). RNAcentral's name for it is "lncRNA (ENSSSAG00000117529.1)". Lineage: Eukaryota; Metazoa; Chordata; Actinopteri; Salmoniformes; Salmonidae. The record is from RNAcentral.
AUUUUCUUAUUUUACAUUGGCGAUAGCUCACAACUUACUGGAAUCCCCUCCCAGUUGGCUACCUUAAAAUGGCGGAAGCUAACAAUGGCAAUGACUAUGCUAUCUAUGAUGAGUCCUCUAUCUAUCUCUAUGACAACAGGCACAACUGCAAUAUAAAGUCGUUUCCCGAAAUGCCACGUAGGUCUACUUAUAUCAGUGCAUUCAACCUAACCAUUUCAACAUUUCUAUUCGAUCAAAUAAGCCUCAGGUAGCAAAUGAGCAAUUACAUUUUUGUUGACCAAAUUCGACUCUCUCGUUCACCUACAUACAAAAAUUCCUCACUUCGUGGGUUUAUUUCAUGGAAAGAUUUUAGGCGGAGUAAAACCUCUCGCUUCGCCUUUUCCUCUCUGUUCUAGCGCAGAGCUCGCUGUUUCUAGCAAGUGUAAACAAAAGGAAAUUGACAUCUUGCAGUCUUGCAUAUCUUGGAAAAGGCAAUCGGCGGAUUAAGCUUUUUACUUGUUGAGUAAAUCGCUAGCUACAUUUAUAUAGUAGUGUGUUAUUUGAGUAUUCAAUUUUGUGUAUAUCCUCGCGCCUUUUAAUUUGAGCUUCAGAUUGAGCAGAAGAAGUGGAAGUCAAAACAUGGUGGAGACACGCACAGAGUCCUUGGAUGACAGCUCCGAUGAUGAACCCCUAAUUGCAUUAGUAAAGAAGAAGCCGCAGCACAUUGAACACAAUGGGACUCCGGGUGAAAAAGACCAAAACCGACAACCUGAACCUGAGUCAAAGAAUAGCACAAGAAAAGAUUCUGGGUUGGAUGACACCUCAGAUGAUGAGCCUUUGACGAAGUUGGUGAAUAAACUUCCCAGCGCUAAAAAAUCCACUGUACAAGCAAAGAGGCCAGGGAAUACUAAUAGCAAAAGAGGAACAGGUAAUGGCAUCAAGAAGACAAACAACAAAUUCACAGGUUCAACCCAGAAUGAGGAUUCCUAUGACAGCUCAGACGAUGAGCCCUUGAUAAAGAUGGUUAAAAAGAUCCCUAAACAGACAUCAUUGCCAUUCAAAAAGAGACCCUUCAACACAGCCAGAGAGGUGAACGAUGUGAAGAAGCGCAGAAAUAUCUCACAGAAUAAAAUAAGCACAGACUCAUCAUCAAGUGACAGCUCAGAUGACAUGCCCCUGACUAAGAUGGUCGACAAACUCAAGACACAAAUGCGAACGAAGACACCCACCACUACAGUCAGAAAAACACCUGGCAUUAAAAAGCCCAGGAAAGUUUUAAAAAAACACAACAGGAGUAUAGAGACCUCAGAUGACAGCUCUGAUGAUGAGCCAUUAAUAAAUCUGACCAAGAAGUCUCCAUCUAAAGAGACUGAAAGGACAAUGCUGAAGAAGUGUGUCGCUAAGGAAUCAAACAGCAACAACUGUAAUAAAAUUAAAGGGAAAAUAAGCAGAGAGGAAGAGGUGAGUUCUGAUGACGAGCCCUUGAUAAAUCUAGUCAAGAAGCCUCUUAAAGCUGUAAAGAAGACCACGACACCAUUAAAGAAGAGGAGCGUAUCAGGAAAGACUGUGGUAGCCAGAAAGAAGACGAGACCAGACAUUGUGAACAAAGCAGUCAUCAGACGGAGCACCAAAGUUGUUCAAAGCACACGUGAAGGGUCUUUGGAUGACAGCUCAGACGAUGGGCCCUUGAGUAAAAAGAUGGUGAGAAAUCCACCAAUGAAGAGCCUAAUGCUGAUUCUGGAGAGAUGUGACACUAAAGAAGUCUUGGAAGAUAACUAUAGAGCCAACGUGGGAAACACCAGUAAAAGAAGUGCAGAGCUUCUAGACAUCAGAACUGGGAUUAUUCACCUCAAAUUGGACGAGGAGUUCUUCUUCAAUGAGUCGGACGCGAGGGAUAUACUGCAGAUAUCCGACCAGGCCCCGGUCCCCGUGAUUCGCUAGAGAAGGAAACUGAGAUUUCAAGGCAAAAGAUAAGGGUGCCUUCUGAGGAUCAGGCGACGAGUGGCUAAUCUGCCUUCCAUUCUGCUGGCUAACUGUCACGCUCUGACCUAUGAGAGCUGUUUUUUCUCUGUGUAGUUAGGUCAGGGUGUGAUAUGGGUGGGCAGUCUAUGUUUGUUGUUUCUAUGUUUAGUUCUUGUUUUUCUAUUUCUAUGUUGAGUUUUGGGAUGAUCUCCAAUUAGAGGCAGCUGGUUCGUGUUGUCUCUAAUUGGAGAUCAUAUUUAAGUUGGGGUUUUUCUAUGGUGUUUUGUGGGUAGUUGUUUUCCGUUUUGUGGUUGUUGCCUGACGGAACUGUUUGCUGUCGUUUUUGUUCCUUUGUAAAGUGUUUCAUUUUUUCAUUAAAUAAUAACCCUGAGCACUCAACACGCCGCGCCUUGGUCCCAUCUAUACGACUGCCGAGUCGUAUAGAGUCGUGGCUGAACGAUGACAUUAAGAACAUAUGGUGAGUGAUUGUCACGUCCUGACCAGUAUAGGGGUUAUUUGUAUUUGUAGGUUGGUCAGGACGUGGCAGAGGGUAUUUGUUUUAUGUGGUUCGAGGGUUAUGUGUAUUGUAGAGGGGUGUUUUAUUUAUGUAUUACGGGGAUUUGGUGUAUGUUCUGGGUUUUGUAUUCUAGGUUGGUUUUCUAGUUUGUUUAUGUCUGUGUGGCUCCCGAUCAGGAACAGCUGUACGUCAUUAUUCCUGAUUGGGAAUCAUAUAUUAGUUGCGUGUUUUCACCUGGGGAUUUGUGGGUAGUUGAUUUUGCACUGCUUAUUAUAGCCUGUAAAACUGUUCCUGUCGUGUCUUUGUUUAUUGUUUUUCCCGUGUUCACAUUUUAAUAAAUAAUAAUGAUGAGCACGCAACCCGCUGCGCCUUGGUCCUCUCUCUCCUACGACAGUCGUUACAGUGAUACAGUUUAUCAGCAAGACAGAACAGCAGCCUCUGGUAAGACAAGGGGCGGGGGACUAUGCAUUAACGUAAACAAAAGCUGGUGCAUGAUAUCUAAGGUAGUCUCAAAGUUUUUCUUGCCUGAGGUAGAGUACACUAUAAGUUGUAGACCACACAAUCUACCUACAGAGUUUUCAUCUGUUUUUUUCGUAGCUGUCUUCAUACCUCCACAGAGCGAGGUUGGCACUAAAACCGCGCUCAAUGAGCUGUAUUCUGCCAUAAACAAACAGGAAAACACACCCAGAGGCGGCGCUCCUAGUGGCCGGUGGCUUUAAUGCAGGGAAACUUAAAUCGGUUUUACCAAAUUUCUAUCAGCAUGUUAAAUGUGCAACCACAGGGAAAAAAAUUCUAGACCGCCUUUACUCCAUACAAAGCUCUCCCUCGCCCUCCAUUUGGCAAAUCUGACCAUAACUCUAUCCUCCUGAUUCCUGCUUAUAAGCAAAAAUUAAAGCAGGAAGCACCAGUGACUAGAUCCACAAUAGAUUUUGAAGGAAACAAUUUAGAUAUGAUUUAAGUGUAGACUUUCAUCUUUAAUUUAAGGGUUUUG